CAAAACUUCAAACGUAAAUAAAAGGAUGUCCAGUUCACCAGAAGAAAAUCGAACUUUCAGAACGGGUGGCCACUCCGAAUUCCCUCACAGCUCCAAGCCCACUAUGGUUGGGGAUUUCCUGCGUGGAUGAAAAUAAAAGGGGUGAGUUUGGGGAAACUCAGUGUGUAAGGAAAACUCAUUCAAAGCCCAAGUCAGCUCAAGCCUAUUGGGCCUAAGCCCAUUCAGGUAACAGUGGUACUAGGCCAAAGCCCUUUUUAGAUUACAAUAAACUAGGCCUUAGCCCCUUAUUUAGAUAACAGUAUGGCCCAUAGGCCUAUUUCGAAAUACAUGCAACAUCAAUAACAUAUGCAAGCCCAUUUGGGGAGACUACUCAACCCACCAACCACUACACUCCACCCGUACCAGCCAUACACUCUAUGUGGGGAAUAGCUCAACCCACCCAGCCCAACACUCCACAGUUGUAGCCUUGCUGCUCAGUUAACAGUAAAUUGAGGCAAAGCCUCCAGUAUGUGGACAAGCCACUUUCAGUACUUCCUCCGUCAAUAUCCCAAUCCCAUGCAUCAGAUAAUAAAAACAUGGCAUGCAGUAAAUAACAACUGUCAAACAUGCAUUUAGGUCAAUUUAACCCUAGGGGUAUUUCAGUAAUUUAUCUCCUAGGGGUAAAACUGUAAAUUUUUCACUUUUAAAGGUAUUUCAGUAAUUUAUCUAUUUUAGGGUUUUUCAUGCAUAUUCCUACCUUUCACGUACUACAGAAUCACGUACCGAGGGUUCUUACCGAAUUGGGCCCGUUGGCCCAGCAUUCCAAUUUUGGCCUAUUAAGCCCAAAAAUAUCGAGGGCGCAAAAAUCAUGUACUUUGCAGUCCAAACAUUGCAGCUUACCAAAAAUAUUAAUCGAUUUACCUCACGAGCAUUCGCACACUCGCAAAUCUACAAAAUACCGAUUUUCAGCAUUUCGGCUUUUCGACUUUUGCCGAUCUAGACUAAGAAAGAGGGUGUUAGUUACACACCUGUUUGCGACGAUAUGCUGACGAGAUCCACACACGAACCGCCAACAAUUAGAUUACUAACACAUUAAUCUUACUAUUCAAAUAUAAACUACAUAUUAACCCCUUACAAUAUUCGGCCAACCACACCUACAGAUCAUAGUAAGCUUAUAAGAAAUCAAUAAGCAACUCAUUAACAAAUUUUUUGUCAAUGUUUACCACAUAAUCAUAAUUUCACUGCAAGCUGUCUUCCUGAGCAACAGUCACUAAAUUAUUUAUAACUGGAGCUACGAAACUCCAAAUUUUUGAUUUAGCCAAUCAAUACCAUAUUUUUUCUCAAAGUUUCCUAUGUUUCACUGUUUGACUAAUCUGACCACUCUUCAUUACGAAUCAAAUUUAUCAUUGUACAGAAUUCAAAAUAUGUUCUUGUUUAUUUCAUUAGAAAUUAUACUCAAUAAGCUUUAAUUACAUAAUUUAUUCAGCUUCUAAUUCAUCUCCCAAAAUUUAUGGUGAUUUUCCAAAGUCACGUUACUGCUGCUGUCCCAAGCAGAUUUAUUACCAAAUCACUCUUUCACACAUACCUUGCAUGCAUGUUAUUUAAACAUGUAUAUCACCAAUCAAUCAUCACAUAUCUAUGAUUUUACUUAAGAAUAAUCUCCAUUUCAUCAUUUUAAAGCACAACAUGUUAGCUGAUUUUUCCCUUUAACAUCUAAGGCACAUGUAUGCUCAUUUGUUUGGCUCAACUUCACCUAUCAUCCAUUUUUUUCAUCAAAAGAACAUGAAACAACAACUAUUUCCUUCAUUUUAAUUCAUGACUAAAUGCUCACAACACAACUAAAAACCAAAAAUGCUUCAAGAGUUAAGGUAGAAUCAAGAAGAACUCAUGAACAUCAAGAUAUAAGCCAACUACCAUGAACUUACCUUCAAUUUUCUUCCCCAAGUGACCGAACACUCAAGAGCUUUCUCUUCGCCUUUCUCUUCUCUAACUUUCAACUAUGAUGAACAAAGAUGGACAAAACUUUGUUCUUUUCACCCCUUUUUCUUUUAAUAAAACUUCAUAUUUCAUCCUUUUAAUUCUUUAAUACAAAAGACAUGAAAGUCUUAUCAUGAAACAUUUACCUAACCCAUUAUCGUGAAACAUUUACCUAAUCCAUUAUCAUGGAACAUUUACCUAACCUAUUAUCAAUUUGUAUCAAUUUGUACCAUAAAUUAUGGAUAUCAAGUGUACUUUUUUUCUAUAACAACAUGAUGGCUGGCCACUUCAUGUAAAAUGGGAGGUUUGUCAUGCAAAUCCUCCUAUUUUGCACUCCUAUUUAUUUGGUCACUUCAAUUUAGCCUAUAGCAUUUUCAAACAUUUUCACAUAGGUCCUAUUUCAUAAUUUCACUCACAAAUGACAAAAUUAAAGCAUGAAAUUUUGCCAACAUUCACAGAAUUCCCAAAAAUUGGGGCAUUACAACUCUACCCCCCUUAAAGAAAUUUCGGCCUCGAAAUUUACCUGAUCCAAAUAGUUGAGGGUAUUGUUGACGCAUAGUCUCUUCUGAUUCCCAAGUAGCUUCUUCCCUUCCAUGAUUACGCCACAGUACUUUUACCAACGGAACUAACUUCCUUCUUAGAACUUUAACCUCUCGAUCUAAAAUUUGUAUGGGUUCUUCCUCAAAGGUCAAAUCAGUCCUUACUUCAAUCUCCUCCACUGGCACAACAUGUGAGCGAUCUGAUCGAUAUCGCCUUAACAUAGACACAUGAAAGACGUCAUAGAUUCUGUCUAACUCUGGUGGUAACUCUAACUGAUACGCUACUGGCCCUACCCGCCUAAGAACCCGAUAAGGCCUUAUAAACCGCGGACUCAAUUUACCUUUCUUGCCGAAUCUCAAGAUCUUCUUCCAAGGUGAAACCUUUAAGAAAACCAUAUCCCCAACUGCGAACUCUAUCUCUUUGCGCUUUAGAUCCGCAUACGACUUCUGUCUAUCAGAUGCCUCCUUUAGUCGAUCUCUUAUCAACUUAACCUUACUUUCAGUAUCUGCCACCAACUCCGGUCCAAGCACUUGUCGUUCACCCAACUCUGUCCAACAUGUAGGCGUACGACAUCUUCGCCCAUAAAGUGCCUCAUAUGGAGCCAUCUGAAUACUUGCUUGGUAGCUGUUAUUCUAUGCAAACUCCGCUAAUGGCAAGUAGUCCUCCCAACUCCCACGAAAAUCGAUGAUACAACCCCUUAACAUAUCCUCCAAAAUCUGAAUAACCCUCUCCGACUGUCCAUCUGUCUGUGGGUGAAAAGCAGUACUGAAAUCCAAACGUGUACCCAAUGCCUCCUGCAACUUCUUCCAGAACUGAGAUGUAAACCUAGGGUCUCGGUCGAAAAUAAUCGACACUGGCACUCCAUGUAGUCGCACUAUCUCUGCCACAUACAACCUAGCCAACUUUUGUAGGGAGUAAUCAGUACGAACUGGUAUGAAAUGGGCAGAUUUUGUUAACCUAUCCACCACUACCCACACAGAAUCUUUCUUGGUGGGUGUCAAAGGUAGCCCACUCACAAAGUCCAUAGUGACUCUCUCUCACUUCCACAAUGGAAUUUUCACCGGUUGUAGUAAUCCAGAAGGAAAUUAAUGUUCAGCUUUCACUUGCUGGCAUGUCAGACAUUUCCCCACGAACUCCGUUACUUCUCGUUUAAGCCCAUGCCACCAGUACAGUUCUCGCAAGUCGUGAUACAACUUAUUCCCUCCAGGAUGCAUGGCACAAAGUCCCCCAUGAGCUUCCUUCAAUAUUGACUGUCUCAAGUCAGAGUCCUUCGGAACACAAAUUCUUCCUCGGAAGCAUAAAACUCCUUCAGUAUUCAGUCCAAAAUCCUCAUUCUCACCCUUCUCAACUUGCUGAAAUCGAAGAACCAACGAGUUAUCCUUCAACUGUUUUUCUUUAAUCUGUUCAGUCCAAAUAGGCCUCACUUGCAAUUCUGCUAACAGACUUCCAUAAUCAAACAGACUCAAAUGUGCAAACAAGGCUCUCAAAUCAGAAACAACCCUUCGACUCAACGCAUCAGCCACCAUGUUAGCCUUACCUGGGUGGUACUCAAUCGAACAGUCGUAAUCCUUAAGCAACUCUACCCAUCUUCGUUGCCUAAGCUUUAACUCCUUCUGAGUUAACAGAUACUUUAGGCUCUUAUGGUCCGUGUAUAUGAUACACUUUUCUCCAUAUAAGUAAUGUCUCCAGAUUUUCAACGCGAAGAUCACUGCUGCUAGCUCUAAGUCAUGCGUAGGGUAGUUCGCUUCAUGAGACUUAAGCUGUCGCGAAGCAUAAGCGACCACCUUACCCUCUUGCAUCAGUACACAUCCUAACCCCACAUGUGACGCAUCGCUGUACACAGUGAAGCCCUUCCCAGACUCCGGUUGAAUCAACACUGGUGCUUCAGUCAAUACCUUUUUUAAAUGGUCAAAAGCUUUUUACUGACUCUCAGUCCAGACAAAUGCUACCCCUUUUCUUAAUAGUUUCGUUAAUGGUGCAGCAAUCAGAGAAAAUCCUUUUACGAACCUUCGGUAAUAGCCUGCCAAACCCAGAAAACUCUAAAUUUUUGAUACUGAUUUUGGUGGCUUCCAUCUCAGAACUGCCUCAACUUUUCGAGGAUCCACUCUAAUUCCUUCAGCAGAAACCACAUGACCUAGAAAAGCCACUUCUCGCAACCAAAAUUCACACUUACUAAACUUUGCAUACAGUUCCUUCUCUCUCAGCACUUGCAGCACAAUACGUAGAUGCUCCUCAUGUUUCUCCUCGGUUUCCGAGUAUACCAGAAUAUCAUCGAUGAAAACAACCACGAAUCGGUCCAAGUAAGGUUGGAACACUCGAUUCAUUAGAUCCAUGAAAGCGGCAGGUGCGUUCGUCAACCCAAACGGCAUAACCAGGAACUCGUAAUGACCAUAUCGAGUCCUGAAUGCUGUCUUAUGAAUAUCCACUUCCUUUACCCUUAACUGAUGGUAUCCAGAUCGAAGGUCAAUCUUGGAAAAUACCGAAGCUCCUCUAAGCUGGUCGAACAGAUCAUCAAUCAUUGGCAGUGGAUACUUAUUCUUAAUCGUCAGUUUGUUCAACUGGUGAUAAUCAAUGCACAUCUGCAUCGUACCAUCCUUCUUUUUCACGAAUAGCACCGGUGCUCCCCAUGGAGACACGCUUGGCCUAAUGAAGCCCCAAUCCAACAACUCUUGAAUUUGUGUCUUUAGCUCCACCAACUCCUUCGGUGCCAUUCUAUACGGUGCGAUAGACACAGGUGCCGUUCCAGGCAAUAAGUCAAUUCCAAACUCCACUUCUCGGUUCGGAGGCAAUCUUGGAAGCUCCUCCGGAAAAACAUCUUGGAACUCCUUUACAGUCCUAACCUUAUCUACUGUCAGUCCCUCUUCUUCCAACUGACUUACAAAUGCCAAAUAGGCCUCACAACCUUUCUGAAUCCACUUAUCGGCUCUUAAUGCCGACACCACAUUGGACAAAUAAUCCCUUCGUUCACCUAUCACCAUAACCUCCUCAUCCUUUGUGGUCCUUAACACCAUUCGUUUAGCAGCACAAUCCAGGGUCGCUUUAUGCUUAACAAGCCAGUCCAUUCCCAAAAUGAAAUCAAACUCUCCGAACGGUAACUCCAUCAGAUCUCCAGGAAAAAUCCUACCUUGAGUUUCUAAGGGUACAUCCCUAUACAGUUUGUUUACCCUAACCGAGUGACCCAAAUGACUUAGUACAGAUACCCCACUCACAAUCUCCUCAUAGUGCACACCCAACGACCCAGAUAUGACACAUGCAACAUAAAAAUGAGUAGAUCCAACAUCCACCAAGGUAGUAUACGGCAUGUUAGAAAUAAAAAAUGUACCAGUUAUGACGUCAGGUGCGUCACCCUCCUCGCGGCGACGAGCAGCAUAUACCAAAGCUGGCUGACGAGCCUCAGUGUUAACGGUACCCUUUCCAAGUGCCCCACGUCCAUGGCCAUUGCUACCGCGACCUCGGCCAUGACCUCUCGACGGCGACGGUCCACCUCGCGCUGUUUGCACGGGUUGCACAACCCUUUGUUCAACCACUUGAGCCUGAUCUGGCCUCUUAGGACAAUCCCUGAUCUUAUGUUCCUUUGAUCCACAAUGAAGACAAGCCCCAGAACGUUUCCAACAUUCCCCCAGAUGCAUUCUACCACAAUCUCCACAAGCUUGUGGUCUAACAGUAUUCACCGGAACCGCUCGAACUGGUUCUUCCAUCCUAGCUCUCUUAACAUUCCGAUUUGCAGCACCAGUUGGUCCAACAUCUCUCCUGAACCAAUUUUGAUCCCUGUCACGGUUCUUUCGUUUAGCUUGCUUCACCUCUUUGGCUAUCUUAGCCUUUUCUACCAGUGCAGCAAAAUCGCGCUCUCUUUGCGGAGCUAUGAUCACCCUUAGCUCAUCCCUGAAGCCAUCCUCAAAGCGAACACUGCACUCGUAUUCGGUAGAGACAAUACCAUUAGCAUACCGGCUCAAUCGCAGAAACUCUGCCUCAUAUUCAGCAACGGUCUUACCACCCUAGGUCAGGUUUAGGAAUUCUUUCCUUCGCGCAUCCACAUAGCUAGCUCCGACAUACUUCGUCUUGAAGGACUGCUUAAACAACUCCCAAGUUACCCUCUCAGCUGGGGUACCCUCUCUCACAGUGAUCCACCACUGAUACGCCUCAUCCCGUAGUAAGGAUACUGCUCCUUUUAACUUUUUCUCUACUGAGCAGUCCAAGUCAUUCAUAAUCCGUUCCGUGGCUUCCAGCCAGUACUCAGCCACAUUUGGGGCUACUCCAGAUACACCCCUAAAAACUUCCGCUCCGUUGGCCCGAAGUCGCUCAGAAAUGGACCCCCUAUUUAUGGGCCCGAUAUUAGCUCCGGCCACCUUUUCUAAAACUCUUAACAUGGCCUGGGAUAGAGCGUCAUCACCCGCGGCCCGAUCAUACGGCCCAUUCUCAUCCACCGGUAGUGGUCGUGCUACUCCAGCGGGUAUGUGUUCAGAAGACGAAGAUCUAGCUUGAGUAUUACCUUGGCCUCGACCACGGCCUCGACCACGGCCUCUUCCCCGAGUAGCUCUUGUACUCAUAUCGAUUUAUCUGAUUACGAAUUUUAUGCAGUUAGUUUACUGUUUCCACUGUUUAUUACAGAAUAUCUUAUGAACAGAUAAGGUUUCAGAGUUGUUCUCGCGUAACCACAGUUUAGCUACUGUCUUAGUUUCCUAGGGCUUAGUUUAACCUACAGUCUCAAUUUCGUAGCCUUUACGCUAUAUUAUCUAUAGUACUGUCUCUAAGGUUUAGUACUAACUAUAGUACAGUUUAGUAUAUAAAACAAAAUAGUACUUACAGCCUUGGUGCCGGGGAUUCAGUGUGCCACCUCAUCAGUUUUCAGAUAAACUCAAAAGAUUUAGACUUUUUGAAAUCCAUUUUCCAAACAUUUGUGUUAAAAAAACAAGUUCGGAGAUUAUCUCCUUUAAACAGGAAAUUACAAAAGUCAGAUUUUUCCAAAAAUACCUUUUUUUUGCAUAAAAUUUUGAAAACCCUUUUUGGACUCGAUCCACAGCCGAGUUGUUAUAACUGGGCUCUGAUACCACUAAAUGUAGCACCCCAAACCCGGCCCAGACGUUAUGGCUAGAUCCGACAUGCCACAUCGAAGCGUUAAAAAUAUUUUAUAUUGUUGAUCCAGAAAAAUCUACUUAGUGUUUUAAAAGAUAAUUUCAUUAUAGGUUAAAGUGAAUGGAAGCUGUGCACCAGGUAGGAAACCGGAAAAGAGGUGGUGAGUCCAUCGGACUGCUUAAGUACCAAGCUCCCUUCGGAUCCAAUCCUAGACAUGCAUACCACCAUUGUCACACCUUAACGUCAUGGAUAUUUCUAGGAAACCGAUUUGAUUAAGUCAUUUUUAGGAAAAGUGAUUAAUUUUGGAAAAUACUUUAAUUGCGGAAGCUUUGCUUCUUGUCGUGUUAUUUUGAAAUCAACUGUUGUUUUUGAAAAUGCGCCCUAAAGCUAUCCAAUUUCAACAGUUAAAAUAAGUAAUACCUGUCUUAGUAAUACAUAUUAAAACCAUUAAAAAUAAUUAAGCGGCCUUAUUACAUUUAAAAACCCAAAACUUCAAACGUAAAUAAAAGGAUGUCCAGUUCACCAGAAGAAAAUCAAACUUUCAGAACGGGUGGCCACUCCAAAUUGCCUCACAGCUCCAAGCCCACUAUGGUUGGGGAUUUCCUGCGUGGAUGAAAAUAAAAGGGGUGAGUUUGAGGAAACUCAGUGUGUAAGGAAAACCCAUUCAAAGCCCAAGUCAGCUCAAGCCUAUUGGGCCUAAGCCCAUUCAGGUAACAGUGGUACUGGGCCAAAGACCUUUUCAGAUUACAAUAAACUGGGCCUUAGCCCCUUAUUCAGAUAACAGUAUGGCCCAUAGGCCCAUUUCAAAAUACAUGCAACAUCAAUAACAUAUGCAAGCCCAUUUGGGGAGACUACUCAACCCACCAACCAUUACACUCCACCCGUACCAUCCAUACACUCUAUGUGGGGAAUAGCUCAACCCACCCAGCCCAACACUCCAUAGUUGCAGCCUUGCUGCUCAGUUAACAGUAAAUUGAGGCAAAGCCUCCAGUAUGUAGACAAGCCACUUUCAGUACUUCCUCCGUCAAUAUCCCAAUCCCAUGCAUCAGAUAAUAAAAACAUGGCAUGCAGUAAAUAACAGCAGUCAAACAUGCAUUUAGGUCAAUUUAACCCUAGGGGUAUUUCAGUAAUUUAUCUCUUAGGGGUAAAACUGUAAAUUUUCCACUUUUAAAGGUAUUUCAGUAAUUUAUCUAUUUUAGGGUUUUUCAUGCAUAUUCCUACCUUUCACGUACUACAGAAUCACGUACCGAGGGUUCUUACCGAAUUGGGCCCGUUGGCCCAUCAUUCCAAUUUUGGCCCAUUAAUCCCAAAAAUAUUGAGGGCGCAAAAAUCAUGUACUUUGCAGUCCAAACAUUGCAGCUUACCAAAAACAUUAAUCGAUUUACCUCACGAGCAUUCACAAACUCGCAAAUCUACAAAAUACCGGUUUUCGGUAUUUCGGCUUUUCGACUUUUGCCAAUCUAGACUAAGAAAGAGGGUGUUAGUUACACACCUGUUUGCGACGAUAUGCUGACGAGAUCCAUACACGAACCGCCUACAAUUGGAUUACUAACACGUUAAUCUAACUAUUUAAAUACAAAAUACGUAUUAACCCCUUACAAUAUUUGGCCAACCACACCUACAGAUCAUAGUAAGCUUAUAACAAAUCAAUAAGCAACUCAUUAACAAAUUUUUUGUUAAUGUUUACCACAUAAUCAUAAUUUCACUGCAAGCUGUCUUCGUGAGCAACAGUCACUAAAUUAUUUAUAACUGGAGCUACGAAACUCCAAAUUAAGUUUCGUUAAUUUUCCCUGAAAAUAGACUCAUAUAUCUUCUAUCCAUAAAAGUUUCAGAAUUUUUGGUUUGGCCAAUCAAUAGCAGAAUUUUUCUCAAAGUUUCCCAUGUUUCACUGUUUGACUAAUCUGACCACUCUUCAUUACGAAUCAAAUUUAUCAUUGUACAGAAUUCAAAAUAUGUUCUUGUUUAUUUCAUUAGAAACUAGACUCAAUAAGAUUUAAUUACAUAAUUUAUUCAGCUUCUAAUUCAUCUCCCACAAUUUAUGGUGAUUUUCCAAAGUCACGUUACUACUGCUGUCCCAAGCAGAUUUAUUACCAAAUCACUCUUUCACACAUACCUUGCAUGCAUGUUAUUUAAACAUGUAUAUCACCAAUCAAUCAUCACAUAUCUAUGAUUUUACUUAAGAAUAAUCUCCAUUUCAUCAUUUUAAAGCACAACAUGUUAGCUGAUUUUUCCCUUUAACAUCUAUGGCACAUGCAUGCUCAUUUGUUUGGCUCAACUUCACCUAUCUUCCAUUUUUUUCAUCAAAAGAACAUGAAACAACAACUAUUUCCUUCAUUUUAAUUCAUGACUAAAUGCUCACAACACAACUAAAAACAAAAAUAUGCUUCAAGAGUUAAAGUAGAAUCAAGAAGAACUCAUGAACAUCAAGAUAUAAGCCAACUACCAUGAACUUACCUUCAAUUUUCUUCCCCAAGUGACCGAACACUCAAGAGCUUUCUCCUCUCCUUUCUCUUCUCUAACUUUCAGCUAUGAUGAACAAAGAUGGACAAAACUUUAUUCUUUUC
Molecule: long non-coding RNA, 10133 nt
Filed under: Gossypium barbadense (sea-island cotton)
Lineage: Eukaryota; Viridiplantae; Streptophyta; Magnoliopsida; Malvales; Malvaceae
Description: long non-coding RNA (GBAR_LNC010241)
Source: RNAcentral